CUGCAGUCAAUUAAGCCAACUGGGUUCCUCUGCUGGUGAGUGCCCAGUGUGCAAUGGCUGCAAAUAGCAACCUCUUCCGUAGUGUACACAGCCUGCUGCUUGUAUGGGCUGCCCUAAGAGACCUUGGAGACACUG
This is a small nucleolar RNA of Heterocephalus glaber (naked mole-rat), 135 nucleotides long. Its record names the gene SNORA70. It matches the Rfam family "Small nucleolar RNA SNORA70". From Rfam's summary of the family: snoRNA U70 seems to be exclusive to mammals and is a member of the H/ACA class of snoRNA which contain H (ANANNA) and ACA box motifs. The record is from Ensembl. Lineage: Eukaryota; Metazoa; Chordata; Mammalia; Rodentia; Bathyergidae.